Molecule: ribosomal RNA, 1475 nt
Filed under: metagenome
Description: bacterial SSU rRNA
Rfam family: Bacterial small subunit ribosomal RNA
Source: RNAcentral
AGAGUUUGAUCCUGGCUCAGGAUGAACGCUGGCGGCGUGCCUAACACAUGCAAGUCGAACGGAUGCAGCAAUGCAUUAGUGGCGCACGGGUGAGUAACACGUAGCUGACCUGCCCUUCAGUGCGGGAUAACGGUUCGAAAGGACUGCUAAUACCGCAUAAGCUCACGGGGUUCAGAAGCCUGUGAGAAAAACUCCGGUGCUGAAGGAGGGGGCUGCGGUCCAUCAGGUAGAUGGUAAGGUAACGGCUUACCAUGCCGACGACGGAUAGGGGGCCUGAGAGGGUGACCCCCCACACUGGAACUGAGACACGGUCCAGACUCCUACGGGAGGCAGCAGUGAGGAAUAUUGCUCAAUGGGCGCAAGCCUGAAGCAGCGACGCCGCGUGGACGAUGAAGGCUUUCGGGUCGUAAAGUCCUUUUUUAGGUGACGAGCAGGGACGGUAGCCUAAGAAUAAGUGUCGGCUAACUACGUGCCAGCAGCCGCGGUAAAACGUAGGACACAAGCGUUAUCCGGAGUUACUGGGCGUAAAGGGCGUUUAGGCGGGUGAUUAAGUUCGCUAUGAAAGCGCCGGGCUAAACUCGGCGAGGCUGGCGGAUACUGGUCAUCUGGAGUGAGUCAGAGGAAGGUAGAAUUCCGCGUGUAUUGGUGAAAUGCGUAGAGAUGCGGAGGAAUACCAGUGGCGAAGGCGGCCUUCUGGGACUCAACUGACGCUGAAGCGCGAAAGCAUGGGGAGCGAACGGGAUUAGAAACCCCGGUAGUCCAUGCCGUAAACGAUGUGCACUAAACGUUCGAUUUCCGCGAGGGAAUCGGGUGUUGAAGCUAACGCGGUAAGUGCACCGCCUGGGGAGUACGGUCGCAAGGCUAAAACUCAAAGGAAUUGACGGGGGCCCGCACAAGCAGCGGAGCGUGUGGUUUAAUUCGAGUCUACGCGAAGAACCUUACCUGGGUUUGACAUAGCAUUGAACAAAGCUGAAAGGCUGCGGUUCCCGCAAGGGACAGUGUUACAGGUGCUGCAUGGCUGUCGUCAGCUCGUGCCGUGAGGUGUUCGGUUAAGUCCGCAAACGAGCGCAACCCCCGGGGUUAGUUACACGUGUCUAACCCGACUGCCCGUGGCAAACGGGAGGAAGGUGGGGAUGAUGUCAAGUCAGCAUGGCCUUUAUAUCCAGGGCUACACACACGCUACAAUGGCGUAUACAAUGGGUAGCGAAGCCGCGAGGCGGAGCCAAUCCUGCAAAGUACGUCUCAGUUCGGAUUGUAGGCUGCAACCCGCCUGCAUGAAGUUGGAGUUGCUAGUAACCGCGCGUCAGCACAGUGCGGUGAAUACGUUCCCGGGCCUUGUACACACCGCCCGUCACGUCAUGAGAGCUGGUGAUGCCUGAAGUCGGGAAGCGAACCGCGAGGGCGCUACUGCCGAGGGCGGCACUGGUGAUUGGGACGAAGUCGUAACAAGGUAGCUGUAGCGGAAGCUGCGGCUG